UGAACGGCAGCACGGACUUCGGUCUGGUGGCGAGUGGCGAACGGGUGAGUAAUGUAUCGGAACGUGCCUAGUAGCGGGGAUAACUACGCGGCGUAGCUAAUACCGCAUACGCCCUUCGAGGAGAAAGCGGGGGACCUUCGGGCCUCGCACUAUUAAAACUGACCGAUAUCGGAUUAGCUAGUUGGUGGGGUAACGGCUCGCAAGGCGACGAUCCGUAGCUGGUUUGAAGGACGACCAGCCACACUGGGACUGAGACCUGGCCCAGACUCUACGGGAGGCAGCGGUGGGGAAUUUUGGACAAUGGGGGAAACUGAUCCAGCCGUCGCGUGUGCGAUGAAGGCCUUCCGGGUUGUAAAGCACUUUUGGCAGGAAAGAAACGGCACAGGAUAAUACCCCGUGCAACUGACGAAACACCUGCAGAAUAAGCACCGGCUAACUACGUGCCAACAGCCGCGGUAAUACGUAGGGUGCAGCGUUAAUCAGAAUUACUGGGCGUAAAGCGUGCGCAGGCGGUUCGGAAAGAAAGAUGUGAAAUCCCAGAGCUUAACUUUGGGAAUUUGCAUUUUUAACUACCGAGCUAGAGUGUGUCAGAGGGAGGUGAAAUUCCCGCGUGUAGCAGUGAAAUGCGUAGAUAUGCGGAGGGUACCGAUGGUGAAGGCGGCCUCACUGGGAUAACACCACUGACGCUCAUGCACAGCAGGAGCAAGGCAGGAUUAGAUACCCUGGUAAUUCCACGCCCUAAACGAUGUCCAACUGGCUGUUGGGGCCUUCGGGCCUUGGUAGCGCAGCUAACGCGUGAAGUUGACCGCCUGGGGAGUACGGUCGCAAGAUUAAAACUCGAGCGUCAGCAGGAACCCGCACCAGCGAGACCAGUGAUGUCACGUUAUUUGAUGCAACGCGAAAAUACACCACUGACGCGCUGGGAAUCCGGGGGAAUUUGUGAUGCUGCGGAACCGGAACGCAGCGAUGGCUGCUAUCGUCAGCCGAUCGUGGGAUCAUUGAGGUAGGUCCUGGCGGCAACCUGCCAUUUAGAUUGCACGAAAGGCACUCUAAUGGAUUGCCAGCGGUAAAACCGGAAGGUAUCGGGCGUCAGUACCACUGGCCACCUAUGGUGGACACGUCAUACAGCAGAAAGCCGAGACCGAGGUGUCGCCAACUACGGAGGAGUCGUCCGAAACCGAUCGCAGGUCGAUGCAGUCUGCAACUCGACGCGUAAGUCGGAAUCGCUAGUAAUCGCGGAUCAGCAUGUCGCGGUGAAUACGUUCCCGGGUCUUGUACACACCGCCCGUCACACCAUGGGAGUGGGUUUUACCAGAAGUAGUUAGCCUAACCGUAAGGAGGGCGAUUACCACGGUAGGAUUCAUGACUGGGGUGAAGUCGUAACAAGGUAG
This 1391-nucleotide ribosomal RNA is filed under the name uncultured Bordetella sp. Its description in RNAcentral is "partial 16S-23S ribosomal RNA intergenic spacer". It matches the Rfam family "Bacterial small subunit ribosomal RNA". The record is from RNAcentral. Lineage: Bacteria; Pseudomonadati; Pseudomonadota; Betaproteobacteria; Burkholderiales; Alcaligenaceae.